UAUAUUCCUUUUCCUUCGUUGUUAAAUGUGUAUUGUGAUUACAUUCUCACCGCUGACUAAGUAGAAAAACUAUAAGAUAUUUUAAAAUCGAAUAACACAAGGUAGAAGACUAAAGAUCAAAGUGAAAAUCGGGACAUAGUCUCUAGAUCAAAAGUAGAACUAAUUAUAUAUAAAUUGCUAAUGUGUUAGCAUAUGUACGUAAUAUGGAGAUGCUCCUACAAUAUGAAAAACUACGCAAAUUUAUUAAUACAUUAACCUGGUAU
Molecule: long non-coding RNA, 263 nt
Filed under: Ananas comosus (pineapple)
Lineage: Eukaryota; Viridiplantae; Streptophyta; Magnoliopsida; Poales; Bromeliaceae
Description: long non-coding RNA (ACOM_LNC032018)
Source: RNAcentral